AACCUGUCCAUCAAGGAACUUGGCCAUCUAGUUUGGGUGGAUUUCUUAGUUCCCACAUUAUAUUUUUUGUUGUUUCAUUUUUUUAUAAUUUUUAGCCAAGCUCUGUCGAAUUCAUCGAUUUGUUAGAUUUAUCUAUCCAGAUUGGAUUUCUAGAUGGCCACCUCAACGAGUUGAUUGGGUGUUUUUUAUUAAAAUGGAAAAGCAUAUGAUGAGACUACUUAUCGGUACAAAGUGGUGAGUUAAUUUUGACUAUUGGAUGUUAAAAUUUGGUAGUUGCAUUUAGUAGAAUUUUCUUGAAUUUUGUGAUUGCAUUUAUUCCAUUGAAUUGAAUUUUAAUUCUGACUUUAUAUCAAAAGUUAAGAGCCCCUUGUACAAAAUUUAGUUGAUUUCAUUGUAACUUUGAUAUCAAACAUUUUUGUAAGGAUGGUGACCUGGGCACCUGAUCAAAAUCUUGACGACCGUGAUGCAUUUAGAAAAAGAAUAGUGUUCUCAACCAGCGGGUGCAAGAGCAUGUUGCACCCUGACUCUUCAACGUCCAUCUUAACCGUGAUCCGAGCAAGCGGGAGGAAGAGCCUGUUGCACCAACUUACUCUUCAACAUCCAUCAUCAUAGAGAUGGAUGUUGUGUAAAGUGCACGGGGUGGUCCAAUCAAAUAUGAACGAUGCUGAAAAUACUUUUUAAAAAAAGGGCACGGUUUAAAGUUCAAUACAUUUUUUUUUUCAUAUUCAUUAUCAUCUUUUUUCAUAUUUAUGAUCAGCUUGGCUUAGAUGACG
RNAcentral lists this long non-coding RNA (773 nucleotides) under Amborella trichopoda. Its description in RNAcentral is "long non-coding RNA (ATRI_LNC004514)". The record is from RNAcentral. Lineage: Eukaryota; Viridiplantae; Streptophyta; Magnoliopsida; Amborellales; Amborellaceae.